RNAcentral lists this ribosomal RNA (442 nucleotides) under uncultured bacterium. Its description in RNAcentral is "bacterial SSU rRNA". It matches the Rfam family "Bacterial small subunit ribosomal RNA", at positions 338 to 795 of the family's 1533-position model. The record is from RNAcentral.
CCUACGGGUGGCAGCAGUCGAGAAUCUUUCACAAUGGGGGCAACCCUGAUGGAGCGACGCCGCGUGGAGGAUAAGGUCUUCGGAUUGUAAACUCCUGUCAUGCGAGAACAAGAAAGUGAUAGUAUCGCAAGAGGAAGAGACGGCUAACUCUGUGCCAGCAGCCGCGGUAAUACAGAGGUCUCAAGCGUUGUUCGGAAUCACUGGGCGUAAAGGGUGCGUAGGCGGCGUGGAAAGUCAGAUGUGAAAUCCGGGGGCUCAACCUCCGAAUAGCAUCCGAUACUCCCGCGCUAGAGUGCUGUAGGGAGGUCUGGAAUUCUCGGUGUAGCAGUGAAAUGCGUAGAUAUCGAGAGGAACGCUCGUGGCGAAGGCGAGACCUUGGACAGCAACUGACGCUGAGGCACGAAGGCCAGGGGAGCAAACGGGAUUAGAUACCCUAGUAGUC